AAACAUCAACAUGUGAUAGACGCCAUGAUUUGAAAUAACCGUAAGCAUGAUGGUGGAACAUAUCCUUGAGAACCAUUUAUCUGAAAGCAAACUGUCUGGAUGAACGCCAUCAUAAAAAUGAUUGUAAAUAAACUUGGUUGAUUUCCCUAAUGUCAUGUUCAAGAGAAUUUUGCUGGAAGUUGGAGUCGUCGAAAGCAUAUUGACUUAUUUGCAGAUUCCAGCCAUGAAAACUAUGCGGCAUGGUGAGGUGUCAGGCAUGCUUUUGUGAAUUGAUAUAACUUCGUUCUUUAACCUUUCAAUAGUGCCUCCUGGUCUGCAUAUAACGGAUAUUUUCCAGUGGUUGUUCCACUGAAACUGCUGCAACCACUGGGCCUGACAAGGAGUUGCCUUGUACUCCCGAAGACACAAAAGGACAUCUUUUAGUUCUUUUUCAUGCUCUCCUUGACGAAUGAUUUUCUUUAAAACAACAGCAGUUUUGAAUUCUUGCCAAACUAAAACACCAUGCAUUGAAGCUGGGGAUUUACCUUUUGAAUAAUAUACAGGAGCAUCUAAGACUGGUGGAAGUUGUACAUCGUCUCCAAAAAAAACUACCACAGGAAUACCACCCCAGGUCUGGUCAGAAAUACCUGUGCCACACCUGCAAUGAAAAUCCAUCCAUCCAAGUGUAGUUGAUCCUACUAAAGAUCGUUCAUCAACAAGAAUGGCACGAAUUCCAGAGCAGUUAGCUUGGAGGUCCUCCCCUAAUGAACCAUCUGGUGCCUUCAUUUCUCCUCCUCUCUGAAGGCACUCCAAUCAUGGUCAGGACCUCCAUCAUCAAAAGUAAAAUUCUGAUGUAAAUCAUCAAAGUUUGGAUUUGGACGAAGAACUUCCAUCCAUUCUGGUUGGACCAUGUUGUCAUUCGAACAGUCUUCUUCUUGUGAGAAAUUAUUGCUGGAGUACUCUACAACCUGAUAAACUCACAUAUUGAAAAGAGUGACUAGAACGGAACAGGGGUAUUGAGGAUAGCUCAAAACAGGCUUCCACAGAAGAAAUGUCUCUCUUAACAGUAUUCAUAAGAAGUUUUGUACAGAGUGAUUUUGGUGUUUCACCUGAGGAUUCAUCAGAAUUGUUUACCAUGUCAGAAAAAAGAUCAGAAAGAGCACCAGUUGGUUCGUUACCUUUGCAGGCAUACCCUGUUAUAUAUUUUUCAGUGGCAAGAAUUUCUUCAACAGAUGGAUUAGAUGGAUCGCUUUUAGAAAGAAUUAAAGAAAUGUCACCAUUGGCUCUCCAGCCUUGCGUAUGAAAUUUGGAAUGUUGCACAAGAACUGGAUGAUCUCUUUCCAUCUCGAGUCGCAGAGAUCCAUUCCUGUCUUUAACUAAAGCGGGGGAAGAUCGCAGCUGUUUUGGAAAUUCCAUUCUACAAUUUUUUUCAGAUGCAUUGAAUUUAGAAGGUUUCAGGCAAUAAUCUGAACACCGGUGUAAAUUAAAACGGUUAGAUAAAAGUAAAUGAUCCUCUAGUAGUGAUUCUUGGGAAUAACUGACAUCCAUCAAAAGUUUGAAUAGGGGAUUAUUUUCAUCUGGAGGAGGAGGAGCAGUACCCUCUGGUGGAGGCCACAAAUUUUUAUUUGAGAUACCGUUUUCAUCCUUACCAGCAGGAUGAUUAGCUGUGAGACCAAAAUUUUCACUAGCCCACUGAGAUAGUUUUUCAGCACAUUCUUCAUCUGAAAGACCAGCUGAGAUGGCAUUGUGCAAAAGAUUAUGAGGCUCUCGAUCUGAUCUCCAGCAAAGACCAUGCCAGUGAACCAUACCUCUUGACUUAGCAAACUCUUGUCUGUACCAAUAUGAGUCAACACCAAAGACAGGACCCAUUACAUUUCUAAAAUAUGAUUGUGUUCUCAGGUCGAAAUAUUGAGCAACUACAUGUGCAUGGUCUUGAAGAGUUUUAAAAAGAAUAUUUUUGUCUGUCAGAUCUACUGAUGAGCCAGUUGUUUGAGAGACAUACAUAGAUAAUAAUCUCUUGAGAGGUUUGAAGUGAAACUCUGCACAACUACCUGUAGUAAAAAAUGAUGGUAGACCCAUUCCCUCAUUUAUUUUAUAUUGCACUAAUGAUCUUAAUUCUUUUGCCCUCUGUCCCCAGUAUUGAGUUGUGCCCCUUAGAUUUCCUGCAAAAUACAGAAUUUUUUCAUUCACUGAUGUGUCAUUAUUUUCAACAAGUUUUUUCAGAUCACUGAUUGUGAAGUGGUUGUCUCCAAGUUUUUGUUUUAUUAUGUAUUUGCUCUUUUCAAGGGCAUUUUUGCGCAUGAUCAUAUUGUGAACUACAAAUUUGAAAUACGGAUGUUUGGCAAACCUGCCAUCAUCAUACCAUAAUAAAUGUUCAGCCCAGUCAGUCAUAGAUGUGAUAGAAAUAGGUCUGUUAAUGUAUAAGUCACCAGAGCCAUAAGGAAAGAGGGCAGGAAAGGCAAGAGUAAAAAAAUGCUGAGUAGUAAAUUCUGAUACAGGAAUAUUUCCUCUGGUGGGCCAAGGAAUAGAUAUUGUCCCCUGUCUGUUGAUAGAAACUUCCCCAUUAUUUUCCCCAAUGAUCUCUUGCACAAUUUUUUGUACUUGUUCCUUAACACGUAUAUUUGAAUCAGGUAGUUGUGCAGCAGAGUGUGAGGUACCUUCAGAAACACCAAUAUCAAUUUGUUCAGCUGAUGGGCCUUUAUCAUUUUUGUGAGGGGUGUUCUCUUUAAAUUGUAGAGUAGUUAUAUCUGAUAACUCUCCAUCCUCGGGGAGUUUUUGUAAUCUCUCAGAACUUAUAAUUAUGUCUGUAUAAGCAGGGUUAUUAUUUUUGAGCCAUUUUAAAGCUUUUUCAAUUUUGAAACGACGGACUCUAAAUUCUCUGCAUGUAUCAUUUUUGCCUUGUUUUUUAACUUUUAUAAUUUGAAUUUCUUGAGGGAGUCGAGGAAAAAUUCUGGCAGGCUCAUUUAUUUCUUGAGGAAAAGUUACACAAUGACCUGAGGAAGCAAUGCCACCAUGAUUUAGCAUAUGGACAUUAAUGCAAGGGGAGAGUCUACUGAUGAGUUGUUGCUCAAUAAUUGUAAGAUCUUGCAAUUCCUGGGGUAAUUUUCCUGGGUCCAUGUUGUUUGAAGAUGAAAAUAAUUUAAUCUUAUUUUUGUCAGUUUUACAUCGUGUGCAGAUGUCGUUUGAUGACAUUCUUGUUUCAAGUCUUCUUUCUUUACAAAUAGUACAAAAUUGAAAGCUAUAUGACAUUUGUUGCAGUUCAAAGGCUCUGAUGGAGUCCAUGGCAUUAUCAUAUUUUGUAUUGUCACAAAGAGGGGGAGGUGGGGGAAGAUCUGACUCAUUUAAUUUAUAUUUUUGUAUGAUGCUUUUAAUUUGUUUUUGUAGUUUUGAUCGGCGUGAUUUGUAUUUUACAUAAGUUUCAUUUUCUGCAGGCAUUUCAUAUUUAAUACCAUAUUUUCUACAAAGUUCCUGAAGCCUUUUCUCAUGUUCAGGUGCAUGUUUAAUUUUUUUUGCUGAAGUGGAAUACAAGUAUGGUCUGAAUUGUCGUUUUCUAGAUGGAUUAGAAUUUUUUUGGACUACUGUUGGGCUCUUUAAAUGCAAGUUUUCAUGAUUUUGACUUGUACAUGUAGACUGUGCAUAUGAAUGUUCAAGGAAUAGAUGUUGCUCUGAGUGGCAUAAGCUGCUAUUGUAAUGUUCGACAUUUGCAUAAUUAUGCUCAGAAGGAAUAUUGUUUACAACACUGUCAAGGUUUUGUUGCUUUGUUUGCUUGCAUGUGUCUGUUUCUUGUUGUAAAUGGGCUUCAAAAUUUUGGACAUUUGCAUAAUUGUGUUCAGAAGGAAUGUUAUUUUUAAUACAUCCAUGGUUUUGAUGGCUGGUUGGUUUGGAUGAAUUUGUUUCUUGUGCAGAUGUUAAAUGAGAUUGCACAGUUUCAAAAUUUUGGAGAGAUUUUUUAUUUGACUUGCUUGAUUGUGUUUCAGAUAGAGCAGGUGUCAAGUACUGAAAAUGUUGAUUUUUUAGUAACAAAUUAAUUGGUGGAUUAUCUGUAUGAGCAGAAGGUUGAAAGGUUGUGAGCAUAUGAGAUGUCAUAUUUUUUGCAUUUUUACACUCAAGCCAAACAUUGAUUUGACGUUUAAGUAAUAAAGCUGCAACUUCAACUUCACAAGAAGAAGCGUAAUCAUUCCCAAGAAUCAUUUGUUGAAAGUAUGACAAUGAAGAAUGCUGUUGGAUUUCAAGAUUAUUUUGAAAAUUUUCCCAAUUUUUCAGUAUGUGAUUACAAAUUUCUUGCCUGUAAGUACUGGUCAUGAUUAAAUUGUCAUGUAAUGCAAGACUCAAGCAAUGAAAAAAGCAAUUUCCGUCCCCAGGAACAUUAUGCACAUGAAAUUUUUGGUCAGAGAUGACAGUGCCAACUCUUCUAGGAUUCUUUGCACUUUGAUUCAUUCUGAUACCUGAUUAUUUGCCGAUACUUGACACUUUACCAAUGCUUAUGUGAAAAUUGUAAUGUUUAAAUCUUGAUUAAACAAUAUGUUACUCUAUACUUAUCACCUUUUCUUAUUUUUCCCCACUUUUCACAAAGGUUUGUUUACUUGCAGCAGUUUGCAGGAACCAGGCUAGCAGACGA
Molecule: long non-coding RNA, 4597 nt
Organism: Saccostrea echinata
Lineage: Eukaryota; Metazoa; Mollusca; Bivalvia; Ostreida; Ostreidae
Exons: 7
Source: RefSeq, a predicted model, not a curated record